This 747-nucleotide ribosomal RNA is filed under the name uncultured bacterium. RNAcentral's name for it is "partial 16S ribosomal RNA". It matches the Rfam family "Bacterial small subunit ribosomal RNA", at positions 1 to 719 of the family's 1533-position model. The record is from RNAcentral.
GCCGCGAAUUCGCCCUUAGAGUUUGAUCAUGGCUCAGGAUGAACGCUGGCGGCGUGCCUAAUACAUGCAAGUCGAGCGAAUGGAUUAAGAGCUUGCUCUUAUGAAGUUAGCGGCGGACGGGUGAGUAACACGUGGGUAACCUGCCCAUAAGACUGGGAUAACUCCGGGAAACCGGGGCUAAUACCGGAUAACAUUUUGAACCGCAUGGUUCGAAAUUGAAAGGCGGCUUCGGCUGUCACUUAUGGAUGGACCCGCGUCGCAUUAGCUAGUUGGUGAGGUAACGGCUCACCAAGGCAACGAUGCGUAGCCGACCUGAGAGGGUGAUCGGCCACACUGGGACUGAGACACGGCCCAGACUCCUACGGGAGGCAGCAGUAGGGAAUCUUCCGCAAUGGACGAAAGUCUGACGGAGCAACGCCGCGUGAGUGAUGAAGGCUUUCGGGUCGUAAAACUCUGUUGUUAGGGAAGAACAAGUGCUAGUUGAAUAAGCUGGCACCUUGACGGUACCUAACAGAAAGCCACGGCUAACUACGUGCCAGCAGCCGCGGUAAUACGUAGGUGGCAAGCGUUAUCCGGAAUUAUUGGGCGUAAAGCGCGCGCAGGUGGUUUCUUAAGUCUGAUGUGAAAGCCCACGGCUCAACCGUGGAGGGUCAUUGGAAACUGGGAGACUUGAGUGCAGAAGAGGAAAGUGGAAUUCCAUGUGUAGCGGUGAAAUGCGUAGAGAUAUGGAGGAACACCAGUGGCGAA